GCCUUUUUCCAGAUUUUUGUUGGAAUUGUUGUCCCUUUUCCUUCGAAUCAUUAUUGAAAGGCAGAUUAAAUGAUGAGCAUAUACCAACCAAGCUACGCUAUAGAUGUGUAGAUUGGGUGAUGCUUCAGAAACACCU
Drosophila melanogaster (fruit fly) is the source of this 136-nucleotide small nucleolar RNA. The record is from Ensembl. Lineage: Eukaryota; Metazoa; Arthropoda; Insecta; Diptera; Drosophilidae.